Non-coding RNA from Arachis ipaensis, 921 nucleotides. The record is from RefSeq and is a predicted model, not a curated record. Lineage: Eukaryota; Viridiplantae; Streptophyta; Magnoliopsida; Fabales; Fabaceae.
AAUAAUUCCAAUUUCAAACAAAUCUGUUAUCUGUGUUCUUUACCCUAACUCAUUGUUCUUGUUUAACAUAACCCACCCAGAAAAAUCAAUUCUCGCAGUCCUCUUCUCCCUCUCCUUACUCGUUGGUUGCUUACUUGCUUCCCCAACCUGUCUCCACUGCGUGCUCCCCUGCUUCGCGCCGUCCUGUUAUCGCCCAUGCUCCGCCUUCGCCGUCCUGUCUCGCACCGUUGGGCUGUCGAUGCCUUGCCUCACGUCGUCUAAGGUAUAUUAGCUUUUUUGUUAUUGAUUCACGAGUGUUCAAACUUGGAAAAAGAUGACACUCUUAGCAUUGAGAAUAUUUUAGCAAAAGCAUUGUUAGAUUCACCGAAUAAAAAAGAGAAGAAAAUCACAACAGUUAAUCCACUGGCUUCAAGCACUUGGGAAAAGGAGGCCAACAAGAGUGGUAACAACUGAUUACCUUCACCAUGGGUAAUUGUUGCCUUGCUUAUUCUGGGAUUUAACGAGUUUAUGACACUUUAUAAGGCUUCAUCAUGCUUUGUUUAGAAGAAUUUAAGUGUUAAGACAUUUGUUCUUCUUUGAUAACAUGCCCAAAGAUCUCGUCAGAUGACCAUGGGAAGAUAAAAUUGAACCAAUUACCACGCACAAAAGCUUUGGAACAGUUCACUCGAGCCGGUGAAGAAAUUCCCGUGGAAUAGAGCAUUGGACAACUUCAUUCAACUCAUUCUUGAUCUCUUUGUGGACAUAGUAAAAUACCUAGUUGUACCUAUGUUCAUAGUUACCUCCAUUAGUGAAUUAUCUUACUCUGCAAAUGAAUGGAAGCUGACUCUUGUUCCUAUUCCAUUUCUCUUCGCAAACUACCAGACAAUAACAACAUUCUUCUAUGAGCUCGCACUCGUCAAUUAGAAAAUAAAUUCAUUUUUA